Non-coding RNA from Petromyzon marinus (sea lamprey), 1441 nucleotides. NCBI's taxonomy places the organism in Eukaryota, Metazoa, Chordata, Hyperoartia, Petromyzontiformes, Petromyzontidae. The record is from RefSeq and is a predicted model, not a curated record.
UACAACAACUGCGUAAACCAUCACGUGUGUCCCGGUCGUCCUCGCAGCAGCGGUGGUUUUUGGGCUGCUAAGCCAUCGACACGAAGACGAUGGCCACUCGCAUCUCGUGAAUUCAGCGCGCCAACGAGGAAGUGGCGCGCGCCAAGGCGGUGUUUUGGCUGUCGGAUUCGAAGGCGCCGGGGAUCGGCUGCGGCUCUGCUGUUUGGGGGCCGCUCGCGAAAGAAAGAAAUAAAGAUCGCUUUUCGGGGCAGGAGAGACUGCAAUGUCUUCCGUGAGAAAAUCUUCGCACUUGCCUCAUGGGUAUGGGGCUGGAGUGGGUGGGGGAGAGAGAGAGAGGAGAGAGAGGGGGGAGGAGGAGGAGUGAGAAUUUUUUUGUCCGUGUUAAAAUGAAAGCAGGAUUCUUUAGUUUUUAAAUCUGUCUCUUUUGUCUCGAGUAAUUUGCGCUGUCCCUGGUAACAAAGGCGGCCGGCGGCGGAGGCUGCUUUGCUGCUUUGCUGGCGUUGAGUGGAAGACGCCGUCGUGAUGCGUCGAGCGAGCCGAGCCAGAGAGGCUCUCUCCCUGUCUCUCUCCGUCUCAUUAAGGCCCCCAAAACGCUGCGGCUACCUAAGCGAUUGCCGCUCUGAAACUUUGCUUUUAUGACUUUCUUUCGGAUAAAACGAAAUGUCACGGAUUUUUUUUUUUGGACAAGGUCCCCCUCCCCACACACACAACCCUCCAACUCGUGAAAAAAAAUGCAGCACUACAGAUAGACCACGUACAUCUUACGACAAUGACAAGCGGGAAAAUGGCAUAAUGCAGUGGCACAUCUUUCUAAUCCUCCCAGAAUACUUUUAAUUCCGCCACAACACGAGUCUCGAGGCUCUUUUGUCAGGACGGUGCUUACGACAAUGAGAUGUCUGCACAUUUUGAUCAACGGAGAGUCUCGCUUCGUGUGUAUACGUACGGACGUAUGUUGGACUUCUUUCGCACCGUACGCAGCCAACCGUGCUCAUCGGCGGAAACCAAAGGAUGCGUAGAAACCCCCGCCGCACUGUGUACGAGGGUUGUUAACACUCCCACAGCUCCGCACAGAUGGAUUCCAAGCGUCUAUUGCUUUGCUGGAAGCUCCUAGCCACCUCGCAGUUCAAGCCUCCAACGGGUAAAAUUCCACCCAAGUAGCAUCUAGACUCAAACUUGUUUUACCUUCCGAGAUCCGACAAGAUCCGGCACAGCUUGGGAUGAUUUGAUAGCAGCAUAGUUUGCAAUUGACCGGAAUAUCUUAUUGAGUUCCAGGCCACUCUUUAAAGAGUUGUCCUGCCUGGGAUUUUUUGUCGAAAAGGAACUGAAUUCGGAUUUAUGUACAGUGAGGGAAAAAAGUAUUUGAUCCCCUGCUGAUUUUGUACGUUUGCCCACUGACAAAGAAAUGAUCAGUCUAUAAUUUUAAUGGUAGGUUUAUUUGAAU